RNAcentral lists this ribosomal RNA (253 nucleotides) under uncultured bacterium. Its description in RNAcentral is "partial 16S ribosomal RNA". It matches the Rfam family "Bacterial small subunit ribosomal RNA", at positions 524 to 776 of the family's 1533-position model. The record is from RNAcentral.
GACAGAGGGUGCAAACGUUGUUCGGAAUUACUGGGCGUAAAGCGUGUGUAGGCGGCCCGCUAAGUCGGGUGUGAAAGCCCCGGGCUCAACCCGGGAAGUGCACUCGAAACUGGCGGGCUAGAGUAUCGGAGAGGUUGGUGGAAUUCUCGGUGUAGAGGUGAAAUGCGUAGAGAUCGGGAGGAACACCUGUGGCGAAGGCGGCCGUCUGGGCCGACCCUGACGCUGAGGCGCGAAGGCGUGGGGAGCGAACGGG